Molecule: non-coding RNA, 712 nt
Organism: Arachis ipaensis
Lineage: Eukaryota; Viridiplantae; Streptophyta; Magnoliopsida; Fabales; Fabaceae
Source: RefSeq, a predicted model, not a curated record
GCCAUAUGAAUAGAUUUCCAAGCUAACCCAACACCUAGCAAGAACAAAAACCAAUAACAACAGAAAAAAGAAACAAUGAACACUGCUGAUCACAUGGCCUACGAGAUUCCAAGAGGGAACUCAGGUCGGCAGCAGCAGCAGCCACCAGCAGCACAAACUGGAAACAUGGCCUACACGAUUGGAAAAACAAACUCAAAUCCGCAGCCACAGCCGCAUCAGCAGCCACCACCAGCAAAACCUGGAGACAUGGCCUACAAGCUAAGAUGAACAUGAAGUCAUCACGUCCAUGAUCACUAGGAAACAGGUCGUACAUGCAUAUGGGGAAGUGGAAGCUAUGUAGCUACUAGCUAUUGAAAUUAAAGGAAUAAGCUUGCAGCAGCAGCAGCAGAGAUUAUAUUAUUAUUGUUAAUCAAAGAAUAAAGAUCAUCUAUUAUUUGGUUAAUUAAUUGUAAUUCGUUACUUCUUGUUCGUUUUGUUAUUAUUAGUGGUCGCUGUUUAAUUUGCAGCUUUGAACAUUAUACGUAGAAGGCAACUUUUAUGUGUAAUUAUUAUUAAUGUCUCUGAAAGUUUAUAUUAUAGGCAGUGCUAUUUCAAGUAGAUUGUGAAUAUAAUAUUCAUAAUAUAAUAUAAGUAUAGGUCAUUAUUUCCAUUAUUGUACGUUUGUUCUCCAUUGAAAGGUAUCAAUAUAAAUCAGGGUAAAAUUAAUAAGUAA